This 681-nucleotide ribosomal RNA is filed under the name uncultured soil bacterium. Its description in RNAcentral is "bacterial SSU rRNA". It matches the Rfam family "Bacterial small subunit ribosomal RNA", at positions 67 to 752 of the family's 1533-position model. The record is from RNAcentral.
CGGCAGCACGGGGGGUAACUCCUGGUGGCGAGUGGCGAACGGGUGAGUAAUAUAUCGGAACGUGUCCUGUAGCGGGGGAUAACCUAUCGAAAGAUGGACUAAUACCGCAUACGCUCUACGGAGGAAAGCGGGGGUUCUUGGGCAACUGAGGACCUCGCACUAUAGGAGCGGCCGAUAUCGGAUUAGCUAGUUGGCGGGGUAAAAGCCCACCAAGGCGACGAUCCGUAGCUGGUCUGAGAGGAUGAUCAGCCACACUGGAACUGAGACACGGUCCAGACUCCUACGGGAGGCAGCAGUGGGGAAUUUUGGACAAUGGGCGUAAGCCUGAUGCAGCGACGCCGCGUGAGGGAUUAAGGCCUUCGGGUUGUAAACCUCUUUCAGCAGGGAAGAAGCGAGAGUGACGGUACCUGCAGAAGAAGCACCGGCUAACUACGUGCCAGCAGCCGCGGUAAUACGUAGGGUGCAAGCGUUGUCCGGAAUUAUUGGGCGUAAAGAGCUUGUAGGCGGUUUGUCGCGUCUGCUGUGAAAUUUCGGGGCUCAACCCCGAACUUGCAGUGGGUACGGGCAGACUAGAGUGUGGUAGGGGAGACUGGAAUUCCUGGUGUAGCGGUGAAAUGCGCAGAUAUCAGGAGGAACACCGAUGGCGAAGGCAGGUCUCUGGGCCACUACUGACGCUGAGAA